Molecule: unclassified non-coding RNA, 343 nt
Filed under: soil metagenome
Description: partial contains 5.8S ribosomal RNA, internal transcribed spacer 2, and large subunit ribosomal RNA
Rfam family: 5.8S ribosomal RNA (bases 1-120)
Source: RNAcentral
GAUGAAGAACGUAGCGAAAUGCGAUAAGUAAUAUGAAUUGCAGAAUUCAGUGAAUCAUCGAGUUUUUGAACGCAUAUUGCGCCCUCUGGUAUUCCGGGGGGCAUGCCUGUUCGAGCGUCAUUAAAUAACCCUCAAGCAUAGCUUGGUGUUGGGCUUUUUUACGUCCUUGACUGGGAUGGGCCUAAAAAUUAGUGGCGAUGGCUUUUUUACUUUCAAGCGUAGUAAAUCUCGUCUUGCUAAAGAGGAAAAAGAUUUUUUUUCUGCCAAAAAUUUUAACAUUUAAAGUUGACCUCGGAUCAGGUAGGAUUACCCGCUGAACUUAAGCAUAUCAAUAAGCGGAGGA